UACAGAGGUGGCAAGCGUUGUUCGGAAUUACUGGGCGUAAAGGGCGCGUAGGCGGUCUUGUAAGUCCUGUGUGAAAUCCCUCGGCUCAACUGAGGAACUGCACGGGAUACUGCGAGACUUGAGUUCGGGAGAGGGAAGCGGAAUUCCGGGUGUAGCGGUGAAAUGCGUAGAUAUCCGGAGGAACACCGGUGGCGAAGGCGGCUUGCCAGAACGCACUCGACGGUGAGGGAUGAAAGCUGGGGGAGCAAACCGG
Molecule: ribosomal RNA, 253 nt
Filed under: uncultured bacterium
Lineage: Bacteria
Description: partial 16S ribosomal RNA
Rfam family: Bacterial small subunit ribosomal RNA
Source: RNAcentral